UACGGAGGGUGCAAGCGUUAUCCGGAUUCACUGGGUUUAAAGGGUGCGUAGGUGGGUAGGUAAGUCAGUGGUGAAAUCUCCAAGCUUAACUUGGAAACUGCCGUUGAUACUAUUUAUCUUGAAUAUAGUGGAGGUGAGCGGAAUAUGUCAUGUAGCGGUGAAAUGCUUAGAUAUGACAUAGAACACCAAUUGCGAAGGCAGCUUGCUACACUACUAUUGACACUGAGGCACGAAAGCGUGGGGAUCAAACAGG
Molecule: ribosomal RNA, 253 nt
Filed under: uncultured bacterium
Lineage: Bacteria
Description: partial 16S ribosomal RNA
Rfam family: Bacterial small subunit ribosomal RNA
Source: RNAcentral